UUGCUUUUGGUCAGCUCCCCGGAGCUGACGUCUGUCUCUCUCCUUUCCUUCCUUACCAUUCCGGAUUUAAAGCAUCUUCCAAUGUGACAAUAAAGAUCCUAUCUUUGGGAAAACUACGUACUGUGUCUGUGAAACGAUUAGAUCAAAUCCAGAUGUAGCUAUUCCCACCACAAUGCGUCCAAUAAAAGACCACCUCUGCCUGUAACCUCCCUUCUCUUGCACUGAACUAAUAUCAAGCCUCAGGAUGAGAUCUUCAAUCAAAACAUAAAACCCAUAUGACGCAGGAGCUCAAAGCUUUAGAUGGCUGUGUUUAAAGAACUAAUAUUCUCGUGAGAGGUGCAAUAUAAUUAAACAUGGUGGUGGAUGUCACGUGAGGCUUGAGAAAGGGACAGUCCAUCUCCUGAAACGUCGUCUGGCUGAUGGUCGGCACUCGGAUGCACUAAGCAGCACGACUUCUAUCCCGCUGGAGAUGCUACUAAUCAUGGCGAGAAACAGACCUCGGUGGAGGCAGAUGAAUUCUACUAGUGCCUGAUCAAUUUACUACUAUGAAUUCUACUAGUGCCUGAUCAAUUUACUACUACUUCGUCACUGGGUGAAUAGCCUCUAUUUUUGUCCAUACAUGCCUGGUUGUACUACAGUGGAACAAUUUUUUGGAUAAAGAAUUGGAUAUCUGCUAUCCCAAUUUGUUGUGCUUUCAUUUCUGUAUACUAUUUUUGGACUUUGGCUGGGGAGUAAGGAGCCCCUGGAUUGAA
This is a long non-coding RNA of Hyla sarda, 752 nucleotides long. RefSeq lists it as uncharacterized. NCBI's taxonomy places the organism in Eukaryota, Metazoa, Chordata, Amphibia, Anura, Hylidae. The record is from RefSeq and is a predicted model, not a curated record. The transcript has 4 exons.